UACGGAGGGUGCGAGCGUUGUCCGGAAUCACUGGGCGUAAAGGGCGCGUAGGCGGUCUGCUAAGCGUGCGGUGAAAGCCUGGGGCUCAACCCCAGGUCUGCCGUGCGAACUGGUGGACUAGAGCACUGUAGAGGCAGGUGGAAUUCCGGGUGUAGCGGUGGAAUGCGUAGAGAUCCGGAAGAACACCGGUGGCGAAGGCGGCCUGCUGGGCAGUUUUGCUGACACUGAGGCGCGACAGCGUGGGGAGCAAACAGG
This 255-nucleotide ribosomal RNA is filed under the name uncultured bacterium. RNAcentral describes it as "partial 16S ribosomal RNA". It matches the Rfam family "Bacterial small subunit ribosomal RNA", at positions 524 to 776 of the family's 1533-position model. The record is from RNAcentral.